This is a long non-coding RNA of Brassica napus (rape), 748 nucleotides long. RefSeq lists it as uncharacterized. NCBI's taxonomy places the organism in Eukaryota, Viridiplantae, Streptophyta, Magnoliopsida, Brassicales, Brassicaceae. The transcript is spliced from 4 exons. The record is from RefSeq and is a predicted model, not a curated record.
AGCGGGAUGCGGGCAAACAUUGAGGCCCGCUACACUUUUCUCACCGAGAACAGAGCUCCAUCAGGUUGUGGGCUCUAAGUGGCGGAGUUCUAAGUCACAAUUCUUCACCAAAGUGGUUUGUUUGGUACAGGGGAGUACCAGCUUCACAGCAGAACCUUGAAGACUGAUGAAAUUUGUGCAGAUUCAAGAUAUCAUUUUGAUCUAAUCGUGACUUGUGGUUCACGAAACCAUUUGAGGUCCUUUGUAGUCAUAAGCUAUAGUUAAGAAUUCCUUUGUUCUUGGUCCCACGAGACAUGACUGUUGGACAUUUCAUUCACAUGCUAAGCAAUAGACUACACCGAACUAUAUCCAAAGCUCUGUUUGUUUUAGUACAGAACACACUUCCUCAACAGGUACCUAAUUAUCCAGCAUCCAUGUUCAAAAAAUCUAUUAAUAAUGCAUUUACUCUUAUCUUUCUUCUCUACAGCUGCUCCCAUGGACUCUUUGAACAAUACUGCCGUCUCCAAGCCCAGCUUCAAAAGCAUAGGAGAUGAGAGCAUGCUUAAGAUCACUAAAACGAAACCACAAGUAUAAUGAACCGAUGUCCCGCGGGCCGACCCGCAAAGCCCAUGUACUAUGCGGGGCGGGAUUGGUCAGCCCUCGACAAGACCGCAUCCCGCGCGGGCCUGUCCCGCUGAGACCCAUUUGAACUGAAGACCGCGGCGGGGCGGGACGGGACGGGACAGGAAGACCCAAUUGCCAUCUCUAG